GUGCUCGCUUCAGCAGCACACACUAAAACUGGAACGAGACAGCAAAGGUUAGCAUGGCACCUAUGCAAGGGUGACACGCAAACUAAUGAAUUGUUCCUUAUUUUU
Molecule: small nuclear RNA, 105 nt
Organism: Fukomys damarensis (Damara mole-rat)
Lineage: Eukaryota; Metazoa; Chordata; Mammalia; Rodentia; Bathyergidae
Source: Ensembl